This 403-nucleotide ribosomal RNA is filed under the name uncultured bacterium. RNAcentral's name for it is "partial 16S ribosomal RNA". It matches the Rfam family "Bacterial small subunit ribosomal RNA", at positions 30 to 526 of the family's 1533-position model. The record is from RNAcentral.
AUUGAACGCUGGCGGCAGGCCUAACACAUGCAAGUCGAGCGAGCGGCGGACGGGUGAGUAAUGUAUGGGGACUGCCCGAUAGAGGGGGAUAACUACUGGAAACGGUGGCUAAUACCGCAUACUAUCGGAUAACCCAUAUGGGAUUAGCUAGUAGGUAAGGUAAUGGCUUACCUAGGCGUCGAUCCCUAGCUGGUCUGAGAGGAUGCGCAGCCACACUGGGACGGAGACACGGCCCAGACUCCUACGGAGGCAGCAGUGGGGAAUAUUGCACAAUGGGCGCAAGCCUGAUGCAGCCAUCCCGCGUGUAUUAAGAAGGCCCUAAGGUUGUAAAGUACUGUCAGUCGGGAGGCGUUACCGACAGAAGAAGCACCGGCUAACUCCGUGCCAGCAGCCGCGGUAAUAC